UGCUUCCCAAAAUUCAUAUGUUGACACCUUAACACUCAGCACCUAAGGAUGUGACUAUAUUUGGAGAUAGUGUCAUCACAGAGAGGAGAUAAGGAUACAGAUGUGCACACAGAGAAACAGCCAUGUGAGGACACAAGGAGAAGGCAGCCACUUACAACCCCAGGAGAGAGGCCUUGGAAGAAACCCACCUUGCCCACACCUUGAUCUUGGACUUCACCCUCCUUCAUCAAUUGGAAGCUGCUGAUCCUGAAUACUUUCCAAAUGCUGGAUGGUACAGAGUGAGGCCCAGAGAAGAGUUGGCGAAUCCUGUUGGGCUAGGAGGAGGAAUAGGAGUAGUAUUAGUUAGACCAAAUGGUAGAACAGGACCUGUGGGUUCAGCUUCUCCUGGGAAUUCCAUCUCUCUGUGAUGUAGACCUGGAAUCCCAGUGAACAUCCUGCAUCCUCAGUGGCCAGCUGUCUGAGGCCACAGUUGUUUCUGAUGAUCGAGGACAAGGAGACUUACCACCCCAUGGCUGAGGCAUUCACAAAAAAAUUAGCUCACAUUAUGUUUUGCUUGUUUGCAAGUCAACAAGAAGAGGUCACUGAGGAUGUCUAACUGAUUCUGUCCACUCAGGAAUGUUUUGGUCUACCCUUUAAUUCACUUUAAAAAUCAUUUUGUAAUUUUUAUCUCCCAUCCAAUAUGUAAGUUGUCAAUUACUUUUAUAUGUAUGCAAACAUCCUUUAUGUAUAAUUUCUAGGCAUAUUACUAGUGAACAUUGAUUGUUACACAGA
Long non-coding RNA from Homo sapiens (human), 771 nucleotides. RefSeq lists it as uncharacterized. The transcript is spliced from 4 exons. The record is from RefSeq and is a predicted model, not a curated record. Lineage: Eukaryota; Metazoa; Chordata; Mammalia; Primates; Hominidae.